GCAAACUUGGUCAUUUAGAGGAAGUACAAGUCGUAACAAGGUUUCCGUAGGUGAACCUGCGGAAGGAUCAUUAACAAAUCGUGUGUGUGUGUAUGUGUGAUGUACACAUGCACAUAUAUGUGCGCCAGUAGGAUUUACUGGAAUGCAAAAUAUUCAUGAUAUAGUGUGUGAUAAUGUGAAAAUAUCAAAACCUAAUACUUUUAACAAUGGAUCUCUUGGCUCUUGCAUCGAUGAAGAACGCAGC
This 244-nucleotide unclassified non-coding RNA is filed under the name uncultured fungus. Its description in RNAcentral is "partial contains small subunit ribosomal RNA, internal transcribed spacer 1, and 5.8S ribosomal RNA". The stretch from base 1 to 73 matches the Rfam family "Eukaryotic small subunit ribosomal RNA", at positions 1759 to 1831 of the family's 1831-position model. The record is from RNAcentral. Lineage: Eukaryota; Fungi.